This 7810-nucleotide long non-coding RNA is filed under the name Equus caballus (horse). Its description in RNAcentral is "lncRNA (ENSECAG00000048758.1)". The record is from RNAcentral. Lineage: Eukaryota; Metazoa; Chordata; Mammalia; Perissodactyla; Equidae.
CAAAGAUCAGCAUCUAAUCAAAUUGCUAAAUUAUUAGUGCCCAUGCUUUCCAAUUUAAAAUAAAGAGCAAGGUUAGCAUUCAUCUCUCAACUAGUCAUUCUAGUACACCCUUCUGGAGUGUUAAAACUAUUGAGCAUCAUUCAGUAUCUUUUUCACCUUGCCAGUUUCUUUUUAAGCCCCCAGCAGGUUUGACCAUAACUAUAGCAUGGAGUAUUACCAAGUUUUUUUUCUUUAGAUAGACUUUAAAUUAAUCCUCCAGCAAUUUUGUCUUUUUAAUUGUGAUUUUCAUUCCUGGUCAAUAUAUUUAUUUGUUUGUUGGUGCAAUAUUUUCUGGUUGUUUGAAGAGUUCAUUUUCAAUGAUACCUACAAGAACAGUGAUGUUUUAUGCAAUUAUUCUCAAGAUUUUUAACCAAUGAAAGAUUUCAAGGAUUAGAUGUUUGGCAGUUCCACAAUAUUAUGUCUCAUAUUUUAAAUAUGCCUCUAAAUACAUCCUACUACUUUUAGACGGCAGCUACCUGGUACCAGUUCAGUAGUAAAGAGAAUGGUCUAUAAUCUUUUGCACCAUCAAUUUCAUUGGUAAGACAUCUCUCCGACCUUUACUGAUUUCUGGAUAUACUAAAAAUUUUAAAUUAUCUUUUCUAUUUUACCCAAUAUCCAGCUUCUGAUCCAAACUUCCUAUAUCAAAUCACCUAAUGCAUUUCCUGUUGGAAAUAUAAUUUUUAAAUUAUUACACUUUAAAUGUAUAAAUGAAAAUGAAUGGUAACAUCACACACACAGUACAGAUAUUUUGGUACUUAUUUGCUGUUGCCAGGAAGUAGAACUAAAAUCAAGCACUUAAAAACAAAAUAUAUAGUGAGAGUAAUUGUUAGAAAUUCUUAAACUCUAUUUUGGAAUCAAUGACUUUUUGAUUCCAAAGAAAUCCUUUUGAUUCCAAAAAAAUUUUGAUUUACAUUAGGAUGUAGUCUAAAGUUUAAAAAAAAAACGCUGACUUCUGCAGUAACAAAAUAAUUUCUCAAAAGACUAGCUGUGUGGGUCUCUGAGGACACUUGAAGUAAUCACUUUUCAGCUUUUCCACUCUGGCAGCCAGUGCCAUGAGCAACUUUAGCACACUCUGUUCUUUUCCUAGUAUCAUGUCCAGAUCAAUUUCUUGGGACUGCAAUGUUGACACCACUUUAUUCCCUAAGCACAAAAGUACCAAAGUUUCCAAUUAACAAUUAUACAAAAAAUGUUAUGCUUUCUGGGCUUACAUAGAGCAACAAAAUAUUCACGAACAAAGAAGCCAGAUUUUCUUAUUUUCAUUGAGUUGGCAUGUACCAAACACAUUUUUUAUUUUGAAAUAGUAAUAGACUCAUGGAAAGUUGGAAAAACAGAACAGUGUACCACGCAGCCUUUACCCAGCCUUCCCUGAUGAUGCAUCUCAUAAAGCUGUAGUAUAAAGUCAUAGCCAGCAAAUUGACAUUGGCAUGUUUCUGUUUUAAAACCUGCAUUCAUUGUGUGUGUGUGUAUGUGUAGUUCUGUGCACUUUUUUCCAUGUAUAAAGUUGUAUAAUUACCACCACAAUCAAAAUACAAAUUUGUUCUAUCAUCAGGAAAGAACUCCCUUGGGAUAGCUCUUUGUAGUGUGUGCCCCUCCCCCACCACGCCUGUCCCUAUGCCCUGGCAGCCACUAAUCUGUUCUCUCUCUCUGUAGUUUUAUCAUUUCAAGGGUAUUGUAUGAAUGGAAUCAUACAGCAUCUAACAUUGUGAAGUUAACUUUUCUCCACUAAACAUAAUGUCCUUGGGGUCCAUUCAGUUUGUUGCAUGUAUCAUUAGUUUACUACUUUUUAUUGCCGAGUAGCAUUCCAUCGUAUGGUUGUACCACUGUUUGUUCAACCAUCCACCCACUUAAAGACAUUUGAGUAGUUUCCAGUAUUUUACUAUGUAAACUGCUCUGAACUUUCAUAUACAGGUUUUUUGUGAACAUAAGUUGUCAUUUCUCUGUGAAAAAUAUCCUAGAAGAGUACAAUUGCUGGGUCACAUGGUACAUGCAUACUUAGUUUUGUAAAAUCUGGAAGACUAUUUUCCAAAGUGGCUGUACCAUUUUACAUUCCCAACAGCAAUGUAUGAGAAAUCCAGUUUCGCUACAUCCUCAACAAUAUUUCUUAUUAUUUUUUAUAUUAGAAGUUCUAAUAGGUAUGUAGCGAUGUCUCAUUGUGGCUUUAAUUUACAUUUCCCUGAUGCACCAGAGUGGAGGAAAUCAGAGCACCACCCAGCCCACCUCAUACCACCUUGGUCCACCUUAAUGCCAGGCAAGGGCAGAGGCUCUGCUCCCCACUGAGCCCUGACGCCAAGGUGGGUGGGUGUGCAAAGUAAAGAAUAGCCUGCUCGCACCUCCUCAUUCUACUUCACUGAUACCAGCUUGGGGUGGAGGUUCAGCUUUAAGCUGGAUCCCACUAACACUAGUCUUGCAGGAAUGUGAGACCAUUGCUGCCUGCUCCUCUGAGUGGGAGGUAGAAUUGUCUCCCCACUCAUCUCUGCCAAAACCAUGGAGUGUAUGCAGUGGGUGAAGUGGACAGGGUAUUGUAUUGUAUUGGUGUUUUUCUAGAGUACAGUGAAUAUUGUCAAAAAGCUUUUAUGUUCUGUUACAUUAUCUUUUCCUGGUCCUUUGACGAGGGCAAAUAGGCUUUUCUUGGAAUUAUUUUUGUCUGUGCCUAUUGAUGGUCCAGGUUGCAGGCUUCCCCAGUGCCUGUCUGGGAUAUGUGGAAAGGAAAAAAGCAAAAAACAAAACAGAGAGCUCAAAUCUGUGUCGUGCCUCACAUCCUGGGGUAACUGGUCACUCUUCCAUUUUUAUCCCAGCUUUCAGUCUUCCAAUUUUCUUUACUGUGUUAUGUCCAGGGUUUUUAAGGAGGACCUGGAAAGAAUUUGCUGGUUCAUCUUGGCCAGAACAAGAAGUUCUCUCCAAAUUAUUUCUUUUUUGUCAUGGCUUUAUUGAGAUGUAAUUCAUAUACCACAAAAUUCUUCAUUUUAAAGUGUAAAAUUCAAUGAUUUUUAGUUUAUUAACAGACUUGUACAACCAUCACCACUAUCUAAUUUCAGAAAAUUUUCGUCAACCCAAAAAAGAAAUCCUAUGCUAAUAGCAGUUUCUCACCUAUCUGUCCUCCACCCUAAGCCCCUGGGAACUACUAAUCUACGUUCUGUCUUUAUGGAUUUGGCUAUUCUGGAAAUUUCAUAUAAAUGGAAUCAUAUAAUAUACAGCUUUUUAUAACUGGCUUCUUUUACUUACCAUAAUGUUUUCAAGGUUCAUUCACAUGGUAACAUGUAUCAGUACUUCACUUUUUUUUAUUGCUAAAUAAUAUUCCAUUGUAAGGAUAUACCACAUUUUUUUCCAUUCAUUAGGUGAUAGGCUUUUGGGUUGUUUCCAUUUUGGAACCAUUAUGAAUAAUGCUGCUAAGAACAUUCAGAUACAAGUUUCUGUGAGAAUGUAAGUUUCAUAUCUCUUGAGUAGAUAUCUAGGAGUGGAAUUUCUGGGUCAUUUGCUAAGUCUAUGGUUAACAUUUUGAGGAGCUGCCAAAUAUUUGUCCAAAGUGGUUUCUCCAUUUUACAAUUCCAUUAGCAAUGUACAAGGGUUUCAAUGUGUUCACAUCCUUGGCAACAUUUGUUAUUGUCAGACUUUUUGAUUUUAGCCAUCCUACUGGGUGUGAAGUGGUAUCUCAUUGUGGUUUCGAUGUGCAUGUCCCUAAUGACAAUGAUGUUGAACAUUGUUUCACGAGCUUAUUGGCUAUUUGUGUGUCUUUAUUGGAGAGCUGUCUAUUCAGGUCCUUUCCCAAUUUUUAAUCAUAUUGUCUUUUAUUGUUGACUUGCAAAAAUUCCUUACAUAUAGGGAAUACAAAUUCAUUAUCAGAUAUGUGAUUUGCAAAUAUUUUCUCUUCUUCUGUAUGUUAUCUUUUUGUUUUCUUGAUGGUGUCCUUUGAACUUUUUGACUUUUUGAUGAAGUCCAAUUUAUCUAUUUUUUUCUUUUGUGCUUUUAGUGUCAUAUCUAAAAAUCCACUGACUAAUUAAUGCAAGGUCAUAAAGAUUUACUUCUACAUUUUCUUAUAAGCAUGUUGUUGUUUCAGGUCUUACAUUUAGGAUUAUGAUCCAUGUUUAGUUAAUUUUGUAUAUGUUGUGAGAUAGGGGGUCUGACUACAUUAUUUUGUAUGUGAAUACACAAUUUCUCCAACAUCACUGAUAAAAAUUAAUAGAUCGUAUACACACACACACACACACACACAUAUAUAUACAUACACACACGUAUAUAUAAUGGUUCAUUCCUGGGCUCUCAAUUCUAUUCCACUGAUCUCUAUAUCUAUCUUUAUACUAGUACCACACUCUCAAUAACUGUCUCAUUAUAAUAAGUUUCUGGGCCCCUUACAUUUCCAUAUGAAUUUUGGUAUCAGCUUAUCAAUUUCUGCAAAAGAAGAAUGCAGCUGUGUUUUGGUAGGGAUUGUAUUAAAUCUGUAGAUCAACUUGAGACUACUGCCAUCUUAACAAUAUUAUAUUUUCUGAUCCAUAAACAUGUGAUGUCUUUCCAUUUAUUUAGAUCUUCUUUAAUUUCUUUCAAUAAUGUUUUAUAUUUUCUGGUGUACAAGUCUUACACUACUUUUGUUAAAAUCAGUUCUAUGUAUUUUAUUCCUUUUGAUGCUAUGGCACAUGGGAUUUUCUUAUUUUCAGACUUCUCAUUACUAGUGUAUAGAAAUACAAUUUAUUUUUGUAUAUUGAUCUUCUCUCUGAAGUCUUGCUGAAUUCAUUUGUUAGUGCUAAUAUUUUUGUGUGUAGGGUUCCUUAGGAUUUUAUACAUAUAAGAUCAUAGCAUCUGCAAAUAGACAUAGUUAUACUUUCUCCUUUCUAAUAAGGAUGUAUUUUAUUCUUUUUCUUUACUAAUUGACAUGGAUAGAACUUCCAGUACAAUGAUGAAUAGAAGUGGCAAGAGUGGACAUCCUUGUCUUAUUCCUAAUCUUAGAGAAAAAGCAUUCAGUCUUUCACCAUUAAGUAUGAUGUUAAAUGUAGGUUUUUCAUAGGUCUCCUUUAUUGGUUUGAAAAGACUUCCAUUUUAUUCCUGUUAGUUGAGUGGUUUUUUUGUCAUGAAAGGGAAUUGGAUUUUGCCAGAUUCUUUUUCCGCAUCUAUUGAGACAAUUGCGUGAUUUUUGUAUUUUAUUCUAUUGCUAUGAUGUAUUACAUUGAUUGAUUUCAUAUGUUAAACCAACUUUGAAUUCCAGUAAUAAGUCCUACUUGGUCAUGGUGUACAAUCCUUUUUAUAUGUUCUGGCUUCAGUUUGCUAGUAUUUUAUCAUUGAGGAUUUUUGCAUCUAUAUUCAUAGUGGAUAUUGCUCGGUAGUUUUUUUGUGAUGUCUUUGUAUUGUUGUGGUAUGAGGGCAAUGUUGGUAAUAUUGGCCUCGUAGAAUGAGAUGUGAAGUGUUUCCCCACCCCCUUCUAUUUUUUGAAGAGUUUGUGAAGGAUUGGUGUUAAUAUCUCUUUAAGUGUUUGGUAGAAUUCAAUAGCAAAAUCAUCUGUGCAAAAACUUUUAGGAGUGAAAAAAUAUUGUCUUUUUAAAUAUAAAUCUUCAAGUAAAAUUUUCAUUCCAGGAAGGUGUGUUGAGUUUAUAAUAUGAAACGUCACUUCCAUUUUCAUUUCAGAAGCAUGAAUGUCCUUCAUUAUUGUUUUGUGAAAUCAUAUACCUUCUUACAAAAGGAGCAUAACUUUGAGGUGAAUUUUCGUUCUGGCACCAAAGACCGAUGUUCUGUUUGUAGUAUAGGAUUUCUAAUAGCUUCUUAUCAGUACUUUAUCAGUCAAGAUCCAGUCAGGAAAACAGAAACAACAGUAAGAAUUUAAACACAUAACAAUAGGAAAUUGAUAACAAAGUUACUGGAAUCCGUGGAAGAACAAACUGGUGAUGAAGUCUAGAAGAGUAAGAAGGAAGAAGAGAUAAUUCCUGGUGAUUAGGAGCUGCUAAUGCUCCUGGCCUGGAGGACGCACUUGAUGCUGCAUUGUUGGAAGCUCUGUCAGUGCUGAUUCUGGAAUGCUAAGUAAGGACCAUUUCAUAUAAAAAGUGUUGCUUCCUUUCAGACUCUACAGUCUGAAAUCAACUCACCUCCACUGCCAUUACAGCAAUUACCACAGGUAGGAGCUGCAAGGCAGAAGCGUCUCUCUUCCCUUACCACUUCUGAUCUCCUGCCUGUACCGAAGGAGCCUGGGAUAUAUAAUUUGUAGUCUCCCAGCCCUGGCCAUACACAGUAGAGUAGAUGAAGGCAAGUGAGAAAAUCCAAAAUGCUUGUGCAAUACUUAUUCUGAAAUUAAACCUUUGAUUUAAAAUGACUUAAACAAUAAGAAAAAUGAUAGUAGAUGGUUUCUGUUGAGUGACUUUCUGAUUACUCCAAUAAUUAUCCUCAAUAUGUAGCAGGGUCAUUUAUUUAUAGUGCUCAGUAAAAUCAACAAAAAGGAUUUAGGAGCUUAAGUUGGCAAAGGGCACUACAUAGAAAUUUCAAAUGGCUAGAGAAGAGGACAAAGAGAUUUGAAAUUUUUUUCCAAAUUUUAUUCAGGACAUUAACUUGUUCGUGUGAAAGAAGAAAGCAAGGAAUAAGUCUUUCAUCAUGACAGAACUCAAUCCAUUCCAAAAAAAAAGAAGAAGAAGAAGAUUGAGUAAUAAACCAUUCAGGAUUAUUUUCUAAAUGACAUUUCACUUCUGCACCCUAAGGUCAUCCUAAAUUAAUGUAUGAAGCCUAAAAAUAUAUUCAUUCACUUAAUACUUCUUUUCUAACUCUGUAAUUUACUCUAAAAUGUUCAUGGCUUACUAAACAAGGCUUCCAUAAUUAUUUAAAUCCCAAGCCCAUUUCAAGAGAGAAAAAAAUAUAAUAGGGGCAAAAUCUAAUUGAAAUCUUGGCAUUUAAAAUAUUUUUUUAACAGUUCUUCAACUGUCUUAAAUUUUAAAAAGAGCAAAGAGAAAUUUUCGGAAUAAAAAGAAGGACGGCUUUCAAGAGAUUGUAAUGAAGUGGUUGGAUUUUCUGGUUUCCAUCUGAGAUUGGGGUCAGAGCCUUUUAAGUCUCAUAAAGUACAAGGAAAAGGCAGAUCUGGUUCUAAAUCACACCGUUGUCAUCAUCCCCAAAUUCAGACAGUACGUGUCAUGCAGUGGGGGCACAGACACACAAUUUUAGCAACCAGAGGCAUAAAAUAAAGUGCGUGUCCUGGGAAACCAUAUAGGCAGGGAAAACAGUGAGGCAUACACCAUCGCAUUGGCCUGCAUCUCUCACGGAGGCAUGCUGAGCGGGGAGCAGGACAUGACAUGGAAUGGGCUCUAGGAGAAGAAUCUCACUGAUUCUGCCAUUCUACAUAUUGAUAGAGACAGAGGGGUAGGAAAUGGCCAUUUGAUUUUGACAGUGUACCAAAGGGAGCUUAUUUUAACAGUGUCAUGGGACAUUAAAAACAUAGCCUUGUCGGAAAGGGGGAGCCCCAGAGCUCACGCACUGCCAUCAGCCUUUUCUUUUAUCAAGCUGACUCAGACCAGUAUCCAGCCAGCUACCAAAAGGGGGAGGAAAUGAGCUACCAACCCCAGCCAUCUCGAGUUGUCUCUCCUUAUUGUAUUUGUGAACUAUAGCAGCUGGGGAAAGGAGAAAGAAGAAUUUAGAGAAUUUUGGAGGAUUUAGUAGCAAAUAGGCACUUACUCUUUUGACUGUAGGAAAAAAUGUUGUCAUAUUGUAAAAUGGAAAAAAGUAAUGAGAUCACUUAUGUGUAGCAAAAUCUUUUUAUAUUUUCUACCCACAAAUAUGUGUAAAGAGAAAACAAAUUUUAAAAGGUAUAAAC